UAAGACAGAGGGUGCAAACGUUGCUCGGAAUCACUGGGCGUAAAGGGCGUGUAGGCGGGAAUGUAAGUCGGGCGUGAAAUCCCUAGGCUCAACCUAGGAACUGCACUCGAAACUGCGUUUCUUGAGUGCCGGAGAGGAAAGCGGAAUACCUGGUGUAGAGGUGAAAUUCGUAGAUAUCAGGUGGAACACCAGUGGCGAAGGCGGCUUUCUGGACGGUAACUGACGCUGAGACGCGAAAGCGUGGGGAGCAAACAGGAUUAGAUACCCUGGUAGUCCACGCCGUAAACGAUGAGCGCUAGGUGUCGUGGGUAUUGACCCCCGCGGUGCCGAAGCUAACGCAUUAAGCGCUCCGCCUGGGAAGUACGGUCGCAAGACUA
This 377-nucleotide ribosomal RNA is filed under the name uncultured bacterium. Its description in RNAcentral is "bacterial SSU rRNA". It matches the Rfam family "Bacterial small subunit ribosomal RNA", at positions 521 to 896 of the family's 1533-position model. The record is from RNAcentral.